CCUACGGGUGGCUGCAGUGAGGAAUAUUGGUCAAUGGCCGGAAGGCUGAACCAGCCAAGCCGCGUGAGGGAGGAAGGCGCAGAGCGUCGCAGACCUCUUUUGCCGGGGGACAAAAGGCCGGACUCGUCCGGUCCUGAGGGUACCCGGAGAAAAAGCAUCGGCUAACUCCGUGCCAGCAGCCGCGGUAAUACGGAGGAUGCGAGCGUUAUCCGGAUUCAUUGGGUUUAAGGGGUGCGCAGGCGGGGCUUUAAGCCUGCGGGGAAAUCGGGGGGCUCAACCCCGCCGCGCCGUCGGAACUGGGGGCCUUGAGUGCGGCGGAGGCAUGCGGAAUGCGCGGUGUAGCGGUGAAAUGCAUAGAUAUCACGAAGAACGCCGAUUGCGAAGGCAGCUCACUGGACUGCAACUGACGCUGAGGCUCGAAAGUGUGGGUAUCAAACAGGAUUAGAUACCCGGGUAGUC
Molecule: ribosomal RNA, 459 nt
Filed under: uncultured bacterium
Lineage: Bacteria
Description: partial 16S ribosomal RNA
Rfam family: Bacterial small subunit ribosomal RNA
Source: RNAcentral